Molecule: unclassified non-coding RNA, 347 nt
Filed under: uncultured Kamienskia
Lineage: Eukaryota; Fungi; Glomeromycota; Glomeromycetes; Glomerales; Glomeraceae
Description: sequence contains ITS1
Rfam family: 5.8S ribosomal RNA (bases 1-105)
Source: RNAcentral
GAAAUGCGAUAAGUAGUGUGAAUUGCAUAUUUCCGUGAAUCAUCGAAUCUUUGAACGCAACUUGCACUCUCGGGCAUUCCUGAGAGUAUACCUGUUUGAGCAUCAGUAACACCCUUACUCCCAACCGUGGUUGGGCAGUGGCAUUGGGCCUCAAGCUUGCUUGUCGCCUGGAAUGGAUUCGGCGCCCGCGUCAAGUGUGCUUCACUUUCAAAGGCAAGCUAGGAACAGUCGUUCUCUUGGCUGGAGAAGUGAGGAGGCUUGGCUAUGGAGCUGCAUUUACAUCAGAGGCGUGCAAACGUCUCUGUGAAUUUGAUCUCAAAUCAGGUAAGACUACCCGCUGAACUUAA